GAUGAACGCUAGCUACAGGCUUAACACAUGCAAGUCGAGGGGAAACGAUAUUGGAAGCUUGCUUCCGAUAGGCGUCGACCGGCGCACGGGUGAGUAACGCGUAUCCAACCUGCCCACCACUUGGGGAUAACCUUGCGAAAGUAAGACUAAUACCCAAUGAUAUCUCAAGAAGACAUCUGAAUGAGAUUAAAGAUUUAUCGGUGAUGGAUGGGGAUGCGUCUGAUUAGCUUGUUGGCGGGGUAACGGCCCACCAAGGCGACGAUCAGUAGGGGGUCAGAGAGGAAGGUCCCCCACAUUGGAACUGAGACACGGUCCAAACUCCUACGGGAGGCAGCAGUGAGGAAUAUUGGUCAAUGGGCGAGAGCCUGAACCAGCCAAGUAGCGUGCAGGAUGACGGCCCUAUGGGUUGUAAACUGCUUUUAUAAGGGAAUAAGGUGAGCCUCGUGAGGCUUUUUGCAUGUACCUUAUGAAUAAGGACCGGCUAAUUCCGUGCCAGCAGCCGCGGUAA
RNAcentral lists this ribosomal RNA (508 nucleotides) under uncultured bacterium. RNAcentral describes it as "partial 16S ribosomal RNA". It matches the Rfam family "Bacterial small subunit ribosomal RNA", at positions 28 to 523 of the family's 1533-position model. The record is from RNAcentral.